RNAcentral lists this ribosomal RNA (468 nucleotides) under uncultured bacterium. RNAcentral describes it as "partial 16S ribosomal RNA". It matches the Rfam family "Bacterial small subunit ribosomal RNA", at positions 28 to 507 of the family's 1533-position model. The record is from RNAcentral.
GACGAACGCUGGCGGCGUGCUUAACACAUGCAAGUCGAACGGAAAGGCCCUGCUUUUGUGGGGUGCUCGAGUGGCGAACGGGUGAGUAACACGUGAGUAACCUGCCCUUGACUUUGGGAUAACUUCAGGAAACUGGGGCUAAUACCGGAUAGGAGAUCCUGCUGCAUGGGGGGGGUUGGAAAGUUUCGGCGUUUGGGGAUGGACUCGCGGCUUAUCAGCUUGUUGGUGGGGUAGUGGCUUACCAAGGCUUUGACGGGUAGCCGGCCUGAGAGGGUGACCGGCCACAUUGGGACUGAGAUACGGCCCAGACUCAUACGGGAGGCAGCAGUGGGGAAUAUUGCACAAUGGGCGGAGGCCUGAUGCAGCAACGCCGCGUGCGGGAUGACGGCCUUCGGGUUGUAAACCGCUUUCGACUGUGACGAAGAGUGAGUGACGGUAAUGGGUAAAAAAGCACCGGCUAACUACGUG